Molecule: ribosomal RNA, 468 nt
Filed under: uncultured bacterium
Lineage: Bacteria
Description: partial 16S ribosomal RNA
Rfam family: Bacterial small subunit ribosomal RNA
Source: RNAcentral
GACGAACGCUGGCGGCGUGCUUAACACAUGCAAGUCGAACGGACAGGCCCUGCUGUUGCGGCGUGCACGAGUGGCGAACGCGUGAGUAACACGUGUGUAACCCCCCCUUGUCUUUCGGAUAACUCUUGGGGACUGCGGCUAAAAUCGCGUAGGAGCUCCUGCUGCAUGGUGGGCGUUGGAAAGUUUCGGCGGUUGGGGCUGGUCUCGCGGCUUAUGAGCUUGUUUGUGUGGUAGGGGCGUUCAAAGGGUUUGAGGGGUAGCCGGCCUGGGAGGGUGACCGGCGACAAUGGGACUGCGGUAGGGCGCAGAAUGCUACGGGAGGCAGCAGUCGGGAAUAUUGCACAAUGGGCGCGAGCCUGAGGCAGCGACGCCGCGUGCGGGAUGACGGCUUUCGGGUGAUAAACCGCUUUCGAAGGAGACGAAGCGGUAGUGACGGUACCUGGUAAAGAAGCACCGGCUAACUACGUG